Molecule: ribosomal RNA, 274 nt
Filed under: Streptomyces sp. SID4946
Lineage: Bacteria; Bacillati; Actinomycetota; Actinomycetes; Kitasatosporales; Streptomycetaceae
Description: partial 23S ribosomal RNA
Rfam family: Bacterial large subunit ribosomal RNA
Source: RNAcentral
AGUCUUGAGAAGGGCUGUCCCUAGUACGAGAGGACCGGGACGGACGAACCUCUGGUGUGCCAGUUGUUCUGCCAAGGGCAUGGCUGGUUGGCUACGUUCGGGAGGGAUAACCGCUGAAAGCAUCUAAGCGGGAAGCCUGCUUCGAGAUGAGGACUCCCACCCACUUGAUGGGGUAAGGCUCCCAGUAGACGACUGGGUUGAUAGGCCGGAUCUGGAAGCCAGGUAACUGGUGGAGGUGACCGGUACUAAUAGGCCGAGGGCUUGUCCUCAGUUG